GUGAACGCCCUCACGGGCUUAUACUAUUCCAAACCUCUGUGAACCGUGCCCUUCGGGGCUAGUUUUGCAAACAUGGUGUAAUGAACGUCAUAUAUCAUAACAAAACA
Molecule: unclassified non-coding RNA, 107 nt
Filed under: soil metagenome
Description: partial internal transcribed spacer 1
Source: RNAcentral